AUUGAACGCUGGCGGCAGGCCUAAUACAUGCAAGUCGAACGAGUGGCGGACGGGUGAGUGAUGUCUGGGAAACUGCCUGAUGGAGGGGGAUAACUACUGGAAAAGGUAGCUAAUACCGCAUACCAUCGGAUGUGCCCAGGUGGGAUUAGCUAGUAGGUGGGGUAACGGCUCACCAAGGCGACGAUCCCUAGCUGGUCUGAGAGGAUGACCAGACACACUGGAACUGAGACACGGUCCAGACUCCUACGGGAGGCAGCAGUGGGGAAUAUUGGGCAAUGGACGCAAGCCUGAUGCAGCCAUGCCGCGUGUAUGAAGAAGGCCUUCGGGUUGUAAAGUACUUUCGGCUGGGAGGCGGUACCCGCAGAGGAAGCACCGGCUAACUACGUGCCAGCAGCCGCGGUAAUAC
RNAcentral lists this ribosomal RNA (406 nucleotides) under uncultured bacterium. RNAcentral describes it as "partial 16S ribosomal RNA". It matches the Rfam family "Bacterial small subunit ribosomal RNA", at positions 30 to 526 of the family's 1533-position model. The record is from RNAcentral.